RNAcentral lists this transfer RNA (64 nucleotides) under Mycobacterium intermedium. It matches the Rfam family "tRNA", at positions 10 to 71 of the family's 71-position model. Rfam says of the family: Transfer RNA (tRNA) molecules are approximately 80 nucleotides in length. The record is from Rfam by way of RNAcentral. Lineage: Bacteria; Bacillati; Actinomycetota; Actinomycetes; Mycobacteriales; Mycobacteriaceae.
GGUCAGUGGCUAUCCCGUCCGCCUGAAAAGCGGAAGGUCGGCGGUUCGAUCCCGCCCCUGGCCA